GCGUGCUUAACACAUGCAAGUCGAACGAAGAUAUUUAGAAUGAGAGCUUCGGCAGGAUUUCUUUCUAUCUUAGUGGCGGACGGGUGAGUAACGUGUGGGCAACCUGCCCUGUACUGGGGAAUAAUCAUUGGAAACGAUGACUAAUACCGCAUGUGGUUCUCGGAAGGCAUCUUCUGAGGAAGAAAGGAUUUAUUCGGUACAGGAUGGGCCCGCAUCUGAUUAGCUAGUUGGUGAGAUAACAGCCCACCAAGGCGACGAUCAGUAGCCGACCUGAGAGGGUGAUCGGCCACAUUGGGACUGAGACACGGCCCAAACUCCUACGGGAGGCAGCAGUGGGGAAUAUUGCACAAUGGGCGAAAGCCUGAUGCAGCAACGCCGCGUGAAGGAUGAAGGGUUUCGGCUCGUAAACUUCUAUCAAUAGGGAAGAAACAAAUGACGGUACCUAAAUAAGAAGCCCCGGCUAACUACGUGCCAGCAGCCGCGGUAAUACGUAGGGGGCAAGCGUUAUCCGGAAUUACUGGGUGUAAAGGGAGCGUAGGCGGCAUGGUAAGCCAGAUGUGAAAGCCUUGGGCUUAACCCGAGGAUUGCAUUUGGAACUAUCAAGCUAGAGUACAGGAGAGGAAAGCGGAAUUCCUAGUGUAGCGGUGAAAUGCGUAGAUAUUAGGAAGAACACCAGUGGCGAAGGCGGCUUUCUGGACUGAAACUGACGCUAANGCUCGAAAAGCGUGGGGAGCAAACAGGAUUAGAUACCCUGGUAGUCCACGCCGUAAACGAUGAGUGCUAGGUGUCGGGGAGGAAUCCUCGGUGCCGCAGCUAACGCAAUAAGCACUCCACCUGGGGAGUACGACCGCAAGGUUGAACUCAAAAGGAAUUGACGGGGGCCCGCACAAGCGGUGGAGCAUGUGGUUUUAAUUCGAAGCAACGCGAAGAACCUUACCAAGGCUUGACAUCCCGAUGACCGCUCUAGAGAUAGAGCUUCUCUUCGGAGCAUCGGUGACAGGUGGUGCAUGGUUGUCGUCAGCUCGUGUCGUGAGAUGUUGGGUUAAGUCCCGCAACGAGCGCAACCCUUAUCUUCAGUAGCCAUCAUUCAGUUGGGCACUCUGGAGAGACUGCCGUGGAUAACACGGAGGAAGGUGGGGAUGACGUCAAAUCAUCAUGCCCCUUAUGUCUUGGGCUACACACGUGCUACAAUGGCUGGUAACAAAGUGACGCAAGACGGUGACGUUAAGCAAAUCACAAAAACCCAGUCCCAGUUCGGAUUGUAGUCUGCAACUUGACUACAUGAAGCUGGAAUCGCUAGUAAUCGCGAAUCAGCAUGUCGCGGUGAAUACGUUCCCGGGCCUUGUACACACCGCCCGUCACACCAUGGGAGUUGGAAGCACCCGAAGUCGGUGACCUAACCGUAAGGAAGGAGCCGCCGAAGGUGAAGCCAGUGACUGGGGUGAA
RNAcentral lists this ribosomal RNA (1446 nucleotides) under uncultured organism. RNAcentral's name for it is "16S ribosomal RNA". It matches the Rfam family "Bacterial small subunit ribosomal RNA". The record is from RNAcentral.